Long non-coding RNA from Phacochoerus africanus (Common warthog), 1174 nucleotides. RefSeq lists it as uncharacterized. The transcript is spliced from 4 exons. NCBI's taxonomy places the organism in Eukaryota, Metazoa, Chordata, Mammalia, Artiodactyla, Suidae. The record is from RefSeq and is a predicted model, not a curated record.
AGGAAGGCUGGGAUUGUAGUUUCCCUGGCGUCUUCUCCAACCCCUCCUCGCCGCUUCUCGCGCCUCUCCUCCGCUGCGAUCGCUGAGCCAAUGGGCUGCGCUCUCCGCUAUGUGUGGCGUCACACGUACAGGUCAAGAUGGCGUCGGCGGAUGGAGCUGAGGUUUUCCCGCGACCUUUACCCUGGUGGGGGGGUGUUACGGGCAGUGGGAAAGCAGCUUCGUGCCGGUAUGGCCGUAUAGGGUUAGGAUCGGAUUCCUCAGCGGCUUGGGAGCAAUUCUAAGCGGCUUCCAGGCCCGCCAGCCGCAGCUGGAGGAGAGAGAAUCCACGCUACGAGACGUGUCACCGUGGACAACGCAGUGGCGCGGACCCGAUCUGGAGGAGGCGCGGAAUUGCAAGUGAAGAAGGACAAUUCGAGCGUUCUCGACUUCGGGUUUCAACCCGUGUCCAGUGGGAAUGCUAGUGCUCUAUCUGUCAGAGGCAAGAAGGCAAAGGCAUUUGUUUGAGGCUCUGCGGCGUGGGACCUCUCUGUACUCCUUGCCUUGCCGGUACAUCUACCAUACUGUCACUGCUGUCAGGGAGGCAAAGUGAGCAUGCCCGCACGUCUUCUCCCGACCCGUGCUGAACAGUCUAAGUAGCGAGGAAAUUCCCCUGCAAUGAAGCAGGUUCAGCGUUGAUUGCUGUCCGUCCAGCCCAAGUGAACAAAGCUUCCUCUUCCAGAUGUCUUUGUUUCUCUCCUUCCCAACUCAGCCCAGCCAGAGGAGCAUCCCAUAAAGGCAUCCAUUUCCUCCCUCCAGACCACAGGCUCAAGCACAGGGAUCAUAUCUGAUUCUGCUCUACAGUUAUGGUACCGAUGGGGCCUGGCACAGCAUAGAGGGUCAACAGAUGCUUGUCGAGAAUGAAGCCUUGAAACAGAGAAGAGAAACUCAUCAGACUAUCUCAGGCUAAUGGCAGAGCCCAGCACAAAGAUGUCAAGGCAGCGAGGCCCUUUGCUGUCCCUGUCACACUCUCAGCACUCUGUCCAAACAGGCUCCAGACACCCUUAUUUCACAGCUUCUGUCUUAAAUGAGUCCACUUCCCAGCCUGUUUUAAUCAUCCUGAUUCCUGGCUCCGGGGCUUGCCUUCUCUUUAUCACCUACCAUCACCUCUUGAUGAUAUAUUACUUGAAGUGGUCAA